CCAAGCCUGGCUCACAAUGACGUGUGCAUCACUCACUGGCAGGAUGCUCUGUAAAGUCCCUCAGGCCCCAUGAAGCAGGGAAAGAACAGAGGUGCCUCUAGCCUGCAAGAGAAAGGGCCAGGCAAGAUCCUGUGGAGGGAGGGAGGCAGGAUGUGAACUCGUUUACUAUGGGUAUUUUUUCCUUUGAAUUAAAUUCUAGAGUGUCAGGCUUUUUUUUUUAACUUUGUUAUUCCUAAGCCAAAUUUAGUUUUUAGGUUUCCUUCUCCUCCCAUCCCCCCAAUAACUUAUUCUUAUCUUCCCACCUCAAGCAU
Molecule: long non-coding RNA, 311 nt
Filed under: Androctonus crassicauda
Lineage: Eukaryota; Metazoa; Arthropoda; Arachnida; Scorpiones; Buthidae
Source: RNAcentral